CACGUAGGGGGCGAGCGUUGUCCGGAUUUAUUGGGCGUAAAGAGCUCGUAGGCGGUUCGGCAAGUCGGGUGUGAAAUUUCGAGGCUCAACCUCGAAACGCCACUCGAUACUGCUGUGACUGGAGUCCGGUAGAGGAGUGCGGAAUUCCUGGUGUAGCGGUGAAAUGCGCAGAUAUCGGGAGGAACACCGGUGGCGAAGGCGGUUCUCUGGGCCUGUACUGACGCUGAGGAGCGAAAGCGUGGGGAGCGAACAGG
RNAcentral lists this ribosomal RNA (254 nucleotides) under uncultured bacterium. RNAcentral's name for it is "partial 16S ribosomal RNA". It matches the Rfam family "Bacterial small subunit ribosomal RNA", at positions 524 to 776 of the family's 1533-position model. The record is from RNAcentral.